RNAcentral lists this ribosomal RNA (403 nucleotides) under uncultured bacterium. Its description in RNAcentral is "bacterial SSU rRNA". It matches the Rfam family "Bacterial small subunit ribosomal RNA", at positions 355 to 775 of the family's 1533-position model. The record is from RNAcentral.
CAAGGAAUUUUCGGCAAUGGGCGCAAGCCUGACCGAGCAACGCCGCGUGGAGGAUGACGGCUUUCGGGUUGUAAACUCCUUUUACGUGGGACGAUAAUGACGGUACCACGUGAAUCAGGCCCGGCUAACUACGUGCCAGCAGCCGCGGUAAUACGUAGGGGUCGAGCGUUGUCCGGACUUACUGGGCGUAAAGCGUGGGUAGGUGGUCUGGGAUGUGCCGUGUGAAAGCCCCGCGUUCAUCGGGGGGAGGUCGCGGUAGACACUCGGACUUGAGGCAUACAGAGGGCCGUGGAAUUCCCGGUGUAGUGGUGAAAUGCGUAGAUAUCGGGAGGAACACCAGUGGCGCAAGCGGCGGCCUGGGUAUGACCUGACACUGAGCCACGACGGCGUGGGGAGCAAACGG